UGGGGAAUAUUGCACAAUGGAGGGAACUCUGAUGCAGCGACGCCGCGUGAGUGAUGAAGGAUUUCGUUUCGUAAAACUCUGUUCUAUGGGAAGAAAAGGACUGUACCAUAGGAGAAAGCUCCGGCUAAAUACGUGCCAGCAGCCGCGGUAAUACGUAUGGAGCGAGCGUUGUCCGGAAUUAUUGGGCGUAAAGGGUGCGCAGGCGGCUUUACAAGUUGGAUGUGAAAUAUUGUGGCUCAACCACAAACGUGCAUCCAAAACUGCAAAGCUUGAGUUAAGGAGAGGUAAGUGGAAUUCCUGGUGUAGCGGUGGAAUGCGUAGAUAUCAGGAGGAAUACCGGUGGCGAAAGCGACUUACUGGACUUAAACUGACGCUCAGGCACGAAAGCGUGGGGAGCAAACAGG
Molecule: ribosomal RNA, 404 nt
Filed under: Fusobacteriota bacterium
Lineage: Bacteria; Fusobacteriati; Fusobacteriota
Description: Fusobacteria bacterium partial 16S ribosomal RNA
Rfam family: Bacterial small subunit ribosomal RNA
Source: RNAcentral